UUCUUCUUGAGUUUGGUUCUAGCUCAGCGUAAACGUUAUCAAAGUAUUUCGACAUGCUAGUUUUUAUCAUAUCGCAAAAUGUGGUAUUGCUACAGCGGAGUAAAACAAAAAGAGUUACAUCGAUAGUACGAUAUAUUUUUUUGUAAGAUCAGGACAAAUAAUGAAGCUUAAAUUUCAUUAGUCGAAGACCUUUAACGAAUUUUCACGAAUUUCUCGUCCGAUUGGUUCUGAAACAACAACCAAAUUCAAAAGAAUCGCAGUCAAGAAUAUUGGACAAUGAGCGAAAGCUUGAUCCAGUAACUUUGAAUAGGUACAAAAAUCUUUUUCUAACCUACAAAACUUUAAAACUAUGAUUAUUGUGUGGUAGUUGUCUCUAAUCACGUGCCAGAAGAGUCGGUAAUACGUGAGCAACAAACGUUAUGCAAAAAGACUAGGUUUACAUAGCAAUUAGAGGAAGAUAUCCCGUAGAAAGAAAACUCAACGAUUAUUGAGUUUUUAAGAAUAAAUGAUAUCUUUCGAGUAAUACCGAUGAAAAUAGAAUGAAUCAAUUAACGAUAAAAUGUGUUUAGUUGAUUUGGAAUAUCAUUCAGUGAAGACGAUUUUCUACGUAUAACGAACAAUAGAGUUUCUCUUUGUUUACUGACCUUUUUAUUGCGGAAGCUUGAGGAGCAACAAGAGUUAGUCAUUCUUUUAGUUCAAGCCGUCAACGAUGACUUUCUUUAUUCAAAACUUUUUGGAUAAACAGCAAAAGCAGAAAAGUUAACCUGAAUAGUAAAAACGCAAGUUCUAUCCUCAAAGAACUCGGUGAGCUGAGACACUAUUUGUGGAGCAUUGCGAAUUAAUUGGACAGUACACCCAAACCUUAUCUUUGCUUGUAUAAUGCGAUAUUUAAACUAGCUUUGUAAAAUGUUACAAAAUUUUCCGCAUUACAAAUGUUGCAUGGUUGUCGAGCAGAUCUUAUUUUAAAAUGUUUGGUUAAUUCCAAUAAAGAUCGAACCUUUUUUUCUUAUUUUCUAAUCUAAAGAAAAGAUUUACCAUAAGAAUAUCAAUAUCUAUAAGAUUUAUGAAAAGAAAACGACGACUAAAUCUUUAUGACUUUUAUGCGAAGAGCUUUACGUGUGCUAUAAUGAAACGAUCAAAAAGUUACUUGAUACUAUAAUUUCUGGUUAAUCUAUAAAGUGUUUCCCAGUUCGGAUUAUUUCUUGCAAUUUAGAAGUAUGAAGUCAGAAUAAAAAGUAAUGGAAGACAAGAAUGCUUCCGUGAAAAAAAACCUCUCAGUUGCACGUUUCGCCCAUCACCUCGAGAAAUUUCGUUUCGAUUGAAGCUAAAAACAAUACCUUGAAACAUCGGUAUGUUUUACUGUGACAUUGGAUCCUAUAAUUUCGAGCAAGUUGUAACAAAGUAGCUGUUGAUGAAUCAGUAGCUGGAACAAGAUUUAA
RNAcentral lists this ribosomal RNA (1439 nucleotides) under Chrysochromulina tobinii. Its description in RNAcentral is "Chrysochromulina sp. CCMP291 Bacterial small subunit ribosomal RNA". It matches the Rfam family "Bacterial small subunit ribosomal RNA". Lineage: Eukaryota; Haptophyta; Prymnesiales; Chrysochromulinaceae. The record is from Rfam by way of RNAcentral.